This is a long non-coding RNA of Rosa rugosa (rugosa rose), 1101 nucleotides long. RefSeq lists it as uncharacterized. Lineage: Eukaryota; Viridiplantae; Streptophyta; Magnoliopsida; Rosales; Rosaceae. The record is from RefSeq and is a predicted model, not a curated record. The transcript is spliced from 4 exons.
CAUUUCUUACUAGUAUUUGAUAACUACGUACAUAGGUAAAAACAAAGAUCAAAUCAUAAACCAUAUGUUUUGUUUCGAAAGCAUUUAUGCGGGCCUAGAAAACACAAACCUGAUGAUCAAUCACUAUGUCAUUUACGCCUUUGUUACCAUUAACAUCAUAACCGGCAAAGAGUAGAGAAAGUGUAACAUCCCGUAUCUUAAUUCACCGGUUUACUAGUCAUUUGGACAGUAAACGACUAUUUGAUUUACUUUUACUCUUUUUUGGUAACUUUAGUGGCCCUAAAAGUUGACUUUUUGUUCGGGUCAAAAUUUGAGAAAAUAUUCUUCAUGAAAGUUGUAGAGGACGUUAAACCGAGCGCGUGCAUAUGUGGUACGUAAAAAUCGGAGUUCAUAUGUGAAAGUUAUAAGCGAAAUACUAAAGUUACUGUUCAUAUAGUAAGUUUCUAUAAAUAGCCGAGUUACUGUGGUAAGUUUCCAUUUUCGGAAACUUACCGAGCCUCUCCCCGAUUCUCUCUUCCUCUCCGACCUCUUCACCUUCUUCCGGCCAUAACUCCUCCAUCCGGCGACGGAUUUUGACGUGUAAGAUGUCGUUGGAAAGCUCUCUUCCUUCUCUUCAUUUCUGGGUUCGUUUCGUAGCUUAAUAUGAACUGUGGAAGGUGCAGCAACGAGAAGAAAAGGACGGUCACUGUAGCAGUUUUGAGUCAACGCCGAUAUUUUCCGAUUCCGGCAGUCUCCGGCCACCAAAUUGGCGUCGAAGGGUUCUUGGAAUUUCUGGAAAUUUUUCACCGGCCAAAUUGGAGCUCUUCCAGGGCAAUGCCGCGAGCUACAGUUAAAUGAAGGAACUCGUUUGCGUGGUCGCCCAAUAGUACUUUUGCAGGCGAAAUUAGUUGAGGUCGGGCGUACAUGGAGUCGAGGCAUAGCCAACAGCAUUGCAUCCGCGUACUCAUUCUAUUUUUGUUUUCUUUGUUACCUAGUGGAUUAGUAUUGCUCUGAUAACCUAUGGGAUUAAUAUUGUUUUUGGGUUGAGACUGAUAUUUGUGAAAUUGGAGUUGUGAUUUGGGAGCAGAUGGCUCCAGAAGAUUAAGGAUUGAUGAUUUAGAA